GGAUGUGAGGGUGAUCUGGCUGUAACAUCUGUCACCCCAUUGAUGGCCAGGGUUGAUUCGGCUGAUCGGGCUGGCUAGGCGGGUGUCCCCUUCCUCCCUCACCGCUCCAUGUGUGUCCCUCCCGAAGCUGGGCGCUCGGUUGAAGAGGACAACCUUCCCCGAUAGAGGAGGACCGUUCUUUGGUCAAGGGUGUACGAGUAGCUGCGCUCCCCUGCCGAAACCUCCAAACAAGCUCUCAAGGUCCAUUUGUAGGAGAAUAUAGGGUAGUCAAGUUUCCAAGACUCCAGACACAUCCAAAUGAGGUGCUGCAAUUGGCAGUCUGCCUUUCUUA
Molecule: unclassified non-coding RNA, 331 nt
Organism: Panthera pardus (leopard)
Lineage: Eukaryota; Metazoa; Chordata; Mammalia; Carnivora; Felidae
Gene: 7SK
Rfam family: 7SK RNA
About the family: 7SK was discovered as an abundant small nuclear RNA in the mid-70s but a possible function has only recently been suggested.
Source: Ensembl